RNAcentral lists this ribosomal RNA (468 nucleotides) under uncultured bacterium. Its description in RNAcentral is "partial 16S ribosomal RNA". It matches the Rfam family "Bacterial small subunit ribosomal RNA", at positions 28 to 507 of the family's 1533-position model. The record is from RNAcentral.
GACGAACGCUGGCGGCGUGCUUAACACAUGCAAGUCGAACGGAAAGGCCCUGCUUUUGUGGGGUGCUCGAGUGGCGAACGGGUGAGUAACACGUGAGUAACCUGCCCUUGACUUUGGGAUAACUUCAGGAAACUGGGGCUAAUACCGGAUAUGAGCUCCUGCUGCAUGUUGGGGGUUGGAAAGUUUCGGCGGUUGGGGAUGGACUCGCGGCUUAUCAGCUUGUUGGUGGGGUAGUGGCUUACCAAGGCUUUGACGGGUAGCCGGCCUGAGAGGGUUACCGGCGACAUUGGGACUGAGAUACGGCCCAGACUCCUACGGGAGGCAGCAGUGGGGAAUAUUGCACAAUGGGCGGAAGCCUGAUGCAGCAACGCCGCGUGCGGGAUGACGGCCUUCGGGUUGUAAACCGCUUUCGCAUGUGACGAAGAGUGAGUGACGGUAAUGGGUAAAGAAGCACCGGCUAACUACGUG